GCCCUUAGAGUUUGAUCCUGGCUCAAGAUGAACGCUGGCGGCGUGCUUAACACAUGCAAGUCGAACGAAGUUCAUUACCAUAUUUCUUCGGACUGAAGGUUUUGAACUUAGUGGCGGACGGGUGAGUAACGCGUGGGUAACCUGCCUCAUACAGGGGGAUAACAGUUAGAAAUGACUGCUAAUACCGCAUAAGCGCACAGGAUCGCAUGAUCCGGUGUGAAAAACUCCGGUGGUAUGAGAUGGACCCGCGUCUGAUUAGGUAGUUGGUGAGGUAACGGCCCACCAAGCCGACGAUCAGUAGCCGACCUGAGAGGGUGACCGGCCACAUUGGGACUGAGACACGGCCCAAACUCCUACGGGAGGCAGCAGUGGGGAAUAUUGCACAAUGGGGGAAACCCUGAUGCAGCGACGCCGCGUGAGCGAAGAAGUAUUUCGGUAUGUAAAGCUCUAUCAGCAGGGAAGAAAAUGACGGUACCUGACUAAGAAGCCCCGGCUAACUACGUGCCAGCAGCCGCGGUAAUACGUAGGGGGCAAGCGUUAUCCGGAUUUACUGGGUGUAAAGGGAGCGUAGACGGCGAAGCAAGUCUGAUGUGAAAACCCGGGGCUUAACCCCGGGACUGCAUUGGAAACUGUUUUGCUAGAGUGCCGGAGAGGUAAGCGGAAUUCCUAGUGUAGCGGUGAAAUGCGUAGAUAUUAGGAGGAACACCAGUGGCGAAGGCGGCUUACUGGACGGUAACUGACGUUGAGGCUCGAAAGCGUGGGGAGCAAACAGGAUUAGAUACCCUGGUAGUCCACGCCGUAAAC
Molecule: ribosomal RNA, 804 nt
Filed under: uncultured bacterium
Lineage: Bacteria
Description: bacterial SSU rRNA
Rfam family: Bacterial small subunit ribosomal RNA
Source: RNAcentral